GUGGAUUAGAUACCCUGGUAGUCCACGCCCUAAACGAUGUCAACUAGGUGUUGGGAGCGCAAGUUCUCAGUACCGCAGCUAACGCGUGAAGUUGACCGCCUGGGGAGUACGGUCGCAAGAUUAAAACUCAAAGGAAUUGACGGGGACCCGCACAAGCGGUGGAUGAUGUGGAUUAAUUCGAUGCAACGCGAACAACCUUACCUACCCUUGACAUGUCCGGAACCCUGCUGAAAGGCGGGGGUGCCAGAAAGGGAAUCGGAACACAGGUGCUGCACG
RNAcentral lists this ribosomal RNA (276 nucleotides) under uncultured bacterium. RNAcentral's name for it is "partial 16S ribosomal RNA". It matches the Rfam family "Bacterial small subunit ribosomal RNA", at positions 773 to 1047 of the family's 1533-position model. The record is from RNAcentral.